This 497-nucleotide ribosomal RNA is filed under the name uncultured bacterium. Its description in RNAcentral is "partial 16S ribosomal RNA". It matches the Rfam family "Bacterial small subunit ribosomal RNA", at positions 28 to 507 of the family's 1533-position model. The record is from RNAcentral.
GAUGAACGCUGGCGGCGUGCCUAAUACAUGCAAGUCGAGCGAACGGACGAGAAGCUUGCUUCUCUGAUGUUAGCGGCGGACGGGUGAGUAACACGUGGAUAACCUACCUAUAAGACUGGGAUAACUUCGGGAAACCGGAGCUAAUACCGGAUAAUAUUUUGAACCGCAUGGUUCAAAAGUGAAAGACGGUCUUGCUGUCACUUAUAGAUGGAUCCGCGCUGCAUUAGCUAGUUGGUAAGGUAACGGCUUACCAAGGCAACGAUGCAUAGCCGACCUGAGAGAGUGAUCGGCCACACGAGAGCUGAGACACGGUCCAGGCUCCUACGGGAGGCAGCAGUAGGGAAUCUUACGCAGUAGGCGAAAGCCUGACGGAGCAACGCCGCGUGAGUGAUGAAGGUCUUCGGAUCGUAAAACUCUGUUAUUAGGGAAAAACAUAUGUGGAAGUAACUGUGCACAUCUUGACGGUACCUAAUCAGAAAGCCACGGCUAACUACGUG